RNAcentral lists this long non-coding RNA (226 nucleotides) under Helianthus annuus (common sunflower). Its description in RNAcentral is "sRNA HanXRQr2_Chr14g0659891". Lineage: Eukaryota; Viridiplantae; Streptophyta; Magnoliopsida; Asterales; Asteraceae. The record is from RNAcentral.
UGUUUCUCUUUAUGUGUACCCAAUUUUUAAUUUGAAAUGCUGUUUUCAAUUUUUGCAGUCCGGUUACAUGAAUGGUAAGAACCUCGAAGUUCAUGUGGUUCUUCUUGUGCAUUUUUUUGCACGGGUUCAUUUAUGCAAUGUAGUUGUUUGAACAAGCUUUUCAAACGGUUCCUGAAGCAUUUGGUUGUUGAUGACUGUUUAUUGAUUUACAAACCAUCUCUUGCGA